AUGAAAGCGGAAGACAUGAGCACCGCAGAUUCCCAACCACCGAAAGCUGGUGCAGAAGAAUCAGCAGCAGGUUGGGCAAUCCCAUUAGGCUGUUGCAUUACUUGUAAUGGCUGCAACUGGUGCUGGCUUGCUGCGGCAGCAAACGGAUCCUCAUUGAUCAGAGAGUUCAGAAACGAAGAGAAGACAUCGUCAGUGCAACAGUUCAUGUCUUCAUCCUCCUCAUUUCCAAGCAGUAGGUUGCUUCUCAAAGCUCCCAUUCCUGCUGCAGAGGCAUCAGAGUCAUUGGAGGUCAUAACAUUUCCAUAGCC
Molecule: long non-coding RNA, 308 nt
Filed under: Fragaria x ananassa (strawberry)
Lineage: Eukaryota; Viridiplantae; Streptophyta; Magnoliopsida; Rosales; Rosaceae
Description: partial myb5
Source: RNAcentral